This 253-nucleotide ribosomal RNA is filed under the name uncultured bacterium. Its description in RNAcentral is "partial 16S ribosomal RNA". It matches the Rfam family "Bacterial small subunit ribosomal RNA", at positions 524 to 776 of the family's 1533-position model. The record is from RNAcentral.
UACGGAGGGUGCUAGCGUUGUUCGGAAUUACUGGGCGUAAAGCGUGCGUAGGUGGUGAGUUAAGUCUGUCGUGAAAGCCCCGGGCUCAACCUGGGAAUGGCGAUGGAUACUGGCUCGCUAGAGUGCGGUAGAGGAGAGUGGAAUUCCCGGUGUAGCAGUGAAAUGCGUAGAGAUCGGGAGGAACAUCAGUUGCGAAGGCAGCUCGCUGGGACGUAACUGACGCUGAGACGCGAAAGCGUGGGGAGCGAACAGG